CUGCAGAAAGGCAGGAUGUCAUGACAGCAGGGCUGGAAGGACAGACAUCCAGCCCUAUGGAGCAGCAAUGGGCCCUCAGUGAAGCAAGAGAAGAUGGACUAUUGACCCAGGAAGAGGGGAUGGGGCACUGGGGAAAUGCAUGCUGCAGUCACAGCACCUGAACAGAGGCUGGAGAGUGGAAAUUCCCAUCGGGAGAAAGCAAACAUGAUGGAUGGCAUUCCCAUCACCCAUCCCAGCA
Molecule: long non-coding RNA, 238 nt
Organism: Pezoporus occidentalis (night parrot)
Lineage: Eukaryota; Metazoa; Chordata; Aves; Psittaciformes; Psittacidae
Exons: 2
Source: RefSeq, a predicted model, not a curated record